RNAcentral lists this ribosomal RNA (373 nucleotides) under uncultured organism. Its description in RNAcentral is "partial 16S ribosomal RNA". It matches the Rfam family "Bacterial small subunit ribosomal RNA", at positions 526 to 896 of the family's 1533-position model. The record is from RNAcentral.
GUAGGUGGGCAAGCGUUGUCCGGAAUUAUUGGGCGUAAAGCGCGCGCAGGGCGGUUCUUUAAGUCUGAUGUGAAAGCCCACGGCUCAACCGUGGAGGGUCAUUGGAAACUGGGGAACUUGAGUACAGAAGAGGAAAGCGGAAUUCCACGUGUAGCGGUGAAAUGCGUAGAGAUGUGGAGGAACACCAGUGGCGAAGGCGGCUUUCUGGUCUGUAACUGACGCUGAGGCGCGAAAGCGUGGGGAGCAAACAGGAUUAGAUACCCUGGUAGUCCACGCCGUAAACGAUGAGUGCUAAGUGUUAGGGGGUUUCCGCCCCUUAGUGCUGCAGCUAACGCAUUAAGCACUCCGCCUGGGGAGUACGGCCGCAAGGCUG